Folsomia candida is the source of this 610-nucleotide long non-coding RNA. RefSeq lists it as uncharacterized. The transcript is spliced from 2 exons. NCBI's taxonomy places the organism in Eukaryota, Metazoa, Arthropoda, Collembola, Entomobryomorpha, Isotomidae. The record is from RefSeq and is a predicted model, not a curated record.
UAUUCAAUUCAUGAGCUAUUAUUCAAACGCACAACUCAACUAAGCUCCAACAAGUAUUGCGGCUUAAAUAAUACAACUAAAUAGCAACCUCAGAAAUAUAUUAUUACUAAACAACAAUGGAAUUCAAAAUGGUUUCAAUUUUCCUCGUCGUCUUGGCCUUUGGCCUAGCCACCUGCUCAGCUUCGGAUUUUGCUCCCGCCCAACCAGACGAAAAUUCCAAAGUAGAUGGACAAGAACGAGCUGUUGCCACUGACGAUGGGACCAUAAUUUCCCUCCAGGAAAACCCAAUCGCUCCGAAGUGCACGUACUGUGGGGGUUUUAGCCACGUCGGAUGCAGCAAUCACUGCUACUGGUCCGGAUACGGAUGUUACAGCUGCAUUGCGCAUCCGUGUUAUUGCGUCUGCUCAAAUUCUGGGUGCUAGAUUACUACUGGAAUAUACGUCUUGAUAAACAAGUAUAAUUUAUUACGGGUUAUUAAUUUAAAUCACAUAUUGAUAUAACUAAUGUAAUGUAGGUUUCCCACCUUUUACUAUUUAAUCAUUUACAAGUUCAUAUAGCAUAUUUAAUAAAUCUCUAAAUAAAUCUCUAAAUAAAUUUCUUUUUGACACAA